ACAGUUGUUAGCUGCCAUAUGGGUUCUGGGAUUUGAACCCGGGUCUUCUGCAAGAACAACCAGUGUUCUUAACCGCCAAGCCAUCUCUCCAGCCCCGAGAUGCCCCUUUCUUAUAUGGAAUCAAAAUAGUGUCAUGACCAAAAUUGGAAGACAAACAUGUCUGUCCUGGAUGGACUUCGAAUCUUACAAGAGAUUCAACAGCGUCUGGUGCCUGGGGCUUGGCAAUAGACCUUCCAUACUCUUGUUGCUCAACUGUGCCUUGCCUUGAGAAGCAUUUGACUCUGUUUUGAAGAUGGAGGAUGACUGCACCUGAGUGGACAUAUAAAGAAAUAUCAUCAGUUCAGUUCUACCUACAAGGCACAGACCGAUAACUAAUUCUA
Nannospalax galili (Upper Galilee mountains blind mole rat) is the source of this 380-nucleotide long non-coding RNA. RefSeq lists it as uncharacterized. The record is from RefSeq and is a predicted model, not a curated record. NCBI's taxonomy places the organism in Eukaryota, Metazoa, Chordata, Mammalia, Rodentia, Spalacidae. The transcript is spliced from 3 exons.